GAUGAACGCUGGCGGCGUGCCUAAUACAUGCAAGUCGAGCGAACAGACGAGGAGCUUGCUCCUCUGACGUUAGCGGCGGACGGGUGAGUAACACGUGGAUAACCUACCUAUAAGACUGGGAUAACUUCGGGAAACCGGAGCUAAUACCGGAUAAUAUAUUGAACCGCAUGGUUCAAUAGUGAAAGACGGUUUUGCUGUCACUUAUAGAUGGAUCCGCGCCGCAUUAGCUAGUUGGUAAGGUAACGGCUUACCAAGGCAACGAUGCGUAGCCGACCUGAGAGGGUGAGCGGCCACACUGGAACUGAGACACGGUCCAGACUCCUACGGGAGGCAGCAGUAGGGAAUCUUCCGCAAGGGGCGAAAGCCUGACGGAGCAACGCCGCGUGAGUGAUGAAGGUCUUCGGAUCGUAAAACGCUGUUAUUAGGGAAGAACAAAUGUGUAAGUAACUAGGCACGUCUUGACGGUACCUAAUCAGAAAGCCACGGCUAACUACG
Molecule: ribosomal RNA, 495 nt
Filed under: uncultured bacterium
Lineage: Bacteria
Description: partial 16S ribosomal RNA
Rfam family: Bacterial small subunit ribosomal RNA
Source: RNAcentral